RNAcentral lists this small nuclear RNA (158 nucleotides) under Fukomys damarensis (Damara mole-rat). RNAcentral's name for it is "U2 spliceosomal RNA (ENSFDAG00000002766.1)". The stretch from base 1 to 118 matches the Rfam family "U2 spliceosomal RNA". Rfam says of the family: U2 is a small nuclear RNA (snRNA) component of the spliceosome (involved in pre-mRNA splicing). Complementary binding between U2 snRNA (in an area lying towards the 5' end but 3' to hairpin I) and the branchpoint sequence (BPS) of the intron results the bulging out of an unpaired adenosine, on the BPS, which initiates a nucleophilic attack at the intronic 5' splice site, thus starting the first of two transesterification reactions that mediate splicing. Lineage: Eukaryota; Metazoa; Chordata; Mammalia; Rodentia; Bathyergidae. The record is from RNAcentral.
CUGGCUUCUUGGCCUUUUGGCUAAGAUCAAGUGUAGUAUCUGUUCUUAUCAGUUUAAUAUCUGAUACAUCUUGUAUCCAGGGACAAUAUAGUAAGUGGGUUUUUUAGAUAUACUAAUUGGUUUCAUUUAUACUAUUGAUGUAUCUUAGUUCAUUGAAA